ACGUGAAUAAUUUUUAUAGCGAAAAAGCUAAAUAAAUUUAUACAUGCUGAACUACAGUAAGCCAAAAUAUUUAAUUUAAUUUACAAUAACAAGAGGGCCCCCGAAUAAACAAAAGUAAAGAGGACUAUGAACCUACGAUUUGGAAAAUGCAGAUUCAAUGGUAGUCCUCGAUGAGAUCAGCUAUCUACAGUCUAUACUGAAC
This 202-nucleotide long non-coding RNA is filed under the name Theobroma cacao (cacao). Its description in RNAcentral is "long non-coding RNA (TCAC_LNC001964)". The record is from RNAcentral. Lineage: Eukaryota; Viridiplantae; Streptophyta; Magnoliopsida; Malvales; Malvaceae.